This 403-nucleotide ribosomal RNA is filed under the name uncultured bacterium. RNAcentral describes it as "partial 16S ribosomal RNA". It matches the Rfam family "Bacterial small subunit ribosomal RNA", at positions 30 to 526 of the family's 1533-position model. The record is from RNAcentral.
AUUGAACGCUGGCGGCAGGCCUAACACAUGCAAGUCGAGCGAGCGGCGGACGGGUGAGUAAUGUAUGGGGACUGCCCGACAGAGGGGGAUAACUACUGGAAAAGGUAGCUAAUAACGCAUACUGUUGGAUAACCCAUAUGGGAUUAGCUAGUAGGUGUGGUAAUGGGUCACCUAGGCGACGAUCCCUCGCUGGUCUGAGAGGAUGAUCAGCCAGACUGGGACAGAGACACGGCCCAGACGCCAACGGAGGCAGCAGUGGGGAAUAUUGCACAAUGGGCGCAUGCCUGAUGCAGCCAUGCCGCGUGGAUGAAGAAGGCCCUAGGGUUGUAAAGUACUUUCAGUCGGGAGGCGUUACCGACAGAAGAAGCACCGGCUAACUCCGUGCCAGCAGCCGCGGUAAUAC